This 500-nucleotide ribosomal RNA is filed under the name uncultured bacterium. RNAcentral's name for it is "partial 16S ribosomal RNA". It matches the Rfam family "Bacterial small subunit ribosomal RNA", at positions 28 to 507 of the family's 1533-position model. The record is from RNAcentral.
GACGAACGCUGGCGGCGUGCUUAACACAUGCAAGUCGAACGGGUCUGCCCUGUUUUUUGCGGGGUGGGUCAGUGGCGAACGGGUGAGUAACACGUGAGUAACCUGCCCCUCACUUCUGGAUAACCGCUUGAAAGGGUGGCUAAUACGGGGUGUUCUGGCUGUGCCGCAUGGUGUGGCUGGGAAAGAUUCACUUUUGUGGUGUUUUGGUGGGGGAUGGGCUCGCGGCCUAUCAGCUUGUUGGUGGGGUGAUGGCCUGCCAAGGCUUUGACGGGUAGCCGGCCUGGGAGGGUGGGCGGUCACACUGGGACUGAGAUACGGCCCAGACUCCUGCGGGAGGCACCAGUGGGGGGUAUUGCACAAUGGGCGGAAGCCUGAUGCAGCGACGUCGCGUGAGGGAUGGAGGCCUUCGGGUUGUGAACCUCUUUCGCCGGUGAAGAAGGUCCUGCUCUUUGUGGUGGGGUUGACGGUAGCCGGGUUAUGAAGCGCCGGCUAACUACGUG